RNAcentral lists this long non-coding RNA (358 nucleotides) under Pongo abelii (Sumatran orangutan). Its description in RNAcentral is "lincRNA". Lineage: Eukaryota; Metazoa; Chordata; Mammalia; Primates; Hominidae. The record is from RNAcentral.
AGAAAUCCCGCGAAGGCCGCCCGAGAUCCUGGUGGAGGCGACGCUGUGUGCGUUUAUGGAGCGCUUGCGAUGGACAAGUGAGGACAUUCAUCGGCCGCAUUUUACCAAUGGCAAGGAGAUAGCGACUGAAGGGCAAGAACCUAGGGUUUCCUGUCUUUGAUAUUUCUCCAUCUUAGAGCAAAAGGAGAAAGGCCAUUAUGGGGAAAAAGAUCCAAAAGGACUCAUCUAAAACACAAGUUGGGUAGAGGAAAUAGGUGAGUACUAUUAUAUUAUGUUCAUGGAAAAUGAGUUCAUGGGCUUUCCUCUAAUUUUCAUUUUAAAAGUAAAUGUAAAUAUUAAAUAAAAUUUUUUAAAUGAA